RNAcentral lists this transfer RNA (73 nucleotides) under Ovis aries (sheep). It matches the Rfam family "tRNA". Rfam says of the family: Transfer RNA (tRNA) molecules are approximately 80 nucleotides in length. Their secondary structure includes four short double-helical elements and three loops (D, anti-codon, and T loops). Lineage: Eukaryota; Metazoa; Chordata; Mammalia; Artiodactyla; Bovidae. The record is from Rfam by way of RNAcentral.
UCCUUGGGGGUCCAGUGGCUAAGACUCUGUGCUUCUAAUGCAGGGGGCCCUGGUUUGAUCCCUGGUCAGGGAG